GACGAACGCUGGCGGCGUGCCUAAUACAUGCAAGUCGAACGAGAGCGACCGGUGCUUGCACUGGUCAAUCUAGUGGCGAACGGGUGAGUAACACGUGGGUAACCUGCCCAUCAGAGGGGGAUAACAUCCGGAAACGGAUGCUAAAACCGCAUAGGUCUUCGAGCCGCAUGGCUUGAAGAGGAAAAGAGGCGCAAGCUUCUGCUGAUGGAUGGACCCGCGGUGCAUUAGCUAGUCGGUGAGGUAACGGCUCACCAAGGCCGUGAUGCAUAGCCGACCUGAGAGGGUGAUCGGCCACAUUGGGACUGAGACACGGCCCAAACUCCUACGGGAGGCAGCAGUAGGGAAUCUUCCGCAAUGGACGCAAGUCUGACGGAGCAACGCCGCGUGAGUGAAGAAGGUUUUCGGAUCGUAAAACUCUGUUGUUAGAGAAGAACAAGUGCUAGAGUAACUGUUAGCGCCUUGACGGUAUCUAACCAGAAAGCCACGGCUAACUACGUG
RNAcentral lists this ribosomal RNA (498 nucleotides) under uncultured bacterium. RNAcentral's name for it is "partial 16S ribosomal RNA". It matches the Rfam family "Bacterial small subunit ribosomal RNA", at positions 28 to 507 of the family's 1533-position model. The record is from RNAcentral.